This 256-nucleotide long non-coding RNA is filed under the name Musa acuminata (dwarf banana). RNAcentral describes it as "long non-coding RNA (MACU_LNC010643)". The record is from RNAcentral. Lineage: Eukaryota; Viridiplantae; Streptophyta; Magnoliopsida; Zingiberales; Musaceae.
AAGGAAUUGGCUAAUCAAACACAUUUCUUAUGCAAUCUCUACUGGAACUAAUAAUAAUAUGUGGUACGAUCCUUGGGUGAAUGGGAAAAGUAUAUUUCAAUUAUAUGGUGACAGAAUACGAAAAGACCUUGGGGCUCCCAAAGAUUGGAAGGUUUCCGAGUUCAUUGCUAAUGGUACCUGGUGUCUCCCUACUCCUAUUUCUCCUGAAAUGUUAUCACUUUGGCCGACUAUCACAGCUAUUCCAAUCAGGAACAAC